UUCUGGCGCGCAAUCCAGUUUACGCAGAAAAUACCCUGGGGCCUGAGAUCAUAUAAACAGGGAUAGGAGUGCAGCCUGGCAGGAACCAAAUUAUAUAGGUAUUUCUUCUAUGCCCAAGAGUGAUGGGAGUGCCUAUGAUUCUACAGAAACAUGCACCAAAGAGUCCAGACACGACAGCAACUUAGAGAAGAUGCUCUCUCAGUAGAUGCCAUUCAAAACUGGUCCUGUCUGCACCAGAAGACAGCAGGCGAAGUAUGAGGAUUGGCAACAUGGUACACACACUAGUGCCCUCCAGUCCCACCCAGAUGCUGCUCCAUGGUCCUCAGCACCUGCCUCCUGAACCAGCUGCCUCACCUAAAGGCUGGGCCAGCCCCGAGCUCAGAGGGUAAGUUUUCUACAGCAGCAUUAACUGCAUUCAUUUUUCAGUCCUUCUGUUGUGAUUCAGUUUGCCAAAACAUUCACAGUGGUUUUGUAAACCACAUUCAAAAAGCUAUUUCCAUUCUUCUUCAUUCACAGCUUCCCAAGCCUAUUUCAUCUCAGCAGGGUUUUC
Molecule: long non-coding RNA, 550 nt
Organism: Podarcis muralis (Common wall lizard)
Lineage: Eukaryota; Metazoa; Chordata; Lepidosauria; Squamata; Lacertidae
Source: RefSeq, a predicted model, not a curated record